GGCUGUGACUCAGUGGAAGAGUCUCUGUUUCGCAUGCAGAAGGUCCCAGGUUCAAUCCCUGGCAUCGCCA
Non-coding RNA from Heteronotia binoei (common prickly gecko), 70 nucleotides. Lineage: Eukaryota; Metazoa; Chordata; Lepidosauria; Squamata; Gekkonidae. The record is from the annotation of a RefSeq genome assembly.